GGGGCUUUAUCCUUCUCAAGAGAUCAGAGGGGCUCAUGCACCUCCUCAAAGGACACCAGAUGAGUCAAGAUAUCAUUUUUCUGUACAGAGAUGCAAGUCACCUGCUGAGCACCCAGGAUGGGAUGGUUAUCACCAAGCAUCAUCAUCCACCGAUCCCUGAAGAAGCGAAGGAUCUCCGCUCGGAUCCCUCCACCAUCAUCCAC
RNAcentral lists this long non-coding RNA (203 nucleotides) under Elaeis guineensis (African oil palm). Its description in RNAcentral is "long non-coding RNA (EGUI_LNC000284)". The record is from RNAcentral. Lineage: Eukaryota; Viridiplantae; Streptophyta; Magnoliopsida; Arecales; Arecaceae.